RNAcentral lists this unclassified non-coding RNA (2464 nucleotides) under Haliotis rufescens (red abalone). RNAcentral's name for it is "histidine ammonia-lyase-like, transcript variant X1". The record is from RNAcentral. Lineage: Eukaryota; Metazoa; Mollusca; Gastropoda; Lepetellida; Haliotidae.
UCUUUGGGCUUUAUAAGACAACACUUGCAGAUGGCAACCAUUGACAGAACCGUUGUUUAAGCACGGAGUGUCAGCGAUAUACUCUUCCAGUGGACAUCCAAGUUAACGAUGAAGCUUUCCCUGAGAAUCAGGGGCCAGUGGCUAGCGCUACCCUGUAAUGGCAAGGAGAAGAUCUCUUGGCUUGGGGACGAGGGCCUGAAGAGGUACUACAAGACCAAGAGCAAGGUUGGCCAUGCGGAGGAGACUGUGUACGAGAUUCGCAAAGCAAAAGGUGGGGCUAUACUGGACCCCGAUGACGCUGUGAGGGACGUCCUAGACGACAACGACUUCGUCACUGUUGUUCUGGACAGCGAUAUGUCCAGUCCGGUGACCGGGCCGGCUGAGAUUGUGUACAUGGAGGAGAAGGUACCUAAAGCCAGCGUGAAGACAGCGUCAGAUUAUAUCUCUUUGGAUGGAAACAGCUUAGCCGCGGACGAUCUCGUGAGACUGGGAAAAGGAAUGUUCCUUGUAAAGUUAACGGCCGAGUCCGAACAAAACGUACAGAAGUCACGUGACCUUGUGGACGAGAUACUCGCCAGUAAUAAAGUUGUCUAUGGAAUCACAACGGGAUUUGGUAACUUUGCUAGGACAACCAUACCUAAAGAUAAACUUGUCGAGCUCCAAGAAAACGUCAUCCGCUCACACGCAGCAGGUGUUGGUCCUCCAUUAUCCCCUGAGAGGACCCGGAUGUUGCUGGCACUGCGUAUUAAUGUCCUCGCCAAAGGCUACAGCGGGAUCUCAUUGGAAACACUGGAGCAGUACAUGGCAGCGUUUAAUGCAUCUUGCCUUCCAUGGGUCCCCCAGAAGGGAUCGGUGGGGGCUAGCGGAGACCUCGCACCCCUCGCUCACCUCGCGCUCGGCAUGAUGGGAGAAGGGAAAAUGUGGUCGCCAAAGAGUGGAUGGGCUGAUGCUAAACAUGUGCUGGAGUCCCAUAACCUCUCUCCGAUAAAGCCCAAGCCCAAAGAGGGCAUCGCAAUGAUAAAUGGAACACAACUUAUAACAUCGUUAGGAGUUGAAGCCUGCGAGAGGUCGGAGUCCAUUACCAGACAGGCGGACGUCGUCGCGGCCAUGACCUUGGAGGUACUGAAGGGUUCAACCAGGGCCUUCGACAGCAAUAUCCAGAUGGUGCGACCACACAAAGGUCAAGGCCUGGUUGCUAGGCGACUGAGGUCACUCCUUCAUUCAGAAACACAUCCGUCUGAGAUAGCAGAGAGCCACAGGUUCUGUGACCGGGUUCAAGACGCCUAUACGCUUCGGUGUUGUCCGCAGGUUCAUGGCAUCGUGAACGAUACGGUGGCGUUCGUCAAGGGCGUCCUGGUGACCGAGAUGAACAGUGCCACAGACAACCCUAUGGUGUUUGCUGAGACCGGUGAGAUCUUGUCAGGGGGGAACUUCCAUGGGGAGUACCCGGCCAAGGCUCUCGACUACCUGGCGAUCGGGGUGCACGAGCUGGCUAACAUGAGUGAGCGGCGAAUUGAGAGACUUGUAAACCCCGCAUUGAGUGAACUGCCAGCCUUCCUGACUAAAGACGGCGGACUCAACUCUGGCUUCAUGAUCGCACACUGCACAGCAGCCUCUCUCGUGUCCGAGAACAAGGUCCUGUGUCAUCCGUCGUCCGUGGACUCCUUGACCACCAGCGCCGGGACGGAGGACCAUGUAUCCAUGGGGGGCUUCUCCUCCAGGAAGUGUCUCAGGGUCGUGGAACAUGUUGAACAAGUCUUGGCAAUCGAGUUACUGGCAGCUUGCCAGGCGAUGGAGUUUCUGCGGCCACUGAAGACGACGCCACCCCUGGAAGAGGUGCACAAGCUGGUCCGCUCAGUCGUCGGCCCCUGGGAUAGAGACAGGUACAUGGCUCCGGACAUAGAGGCAGUCACUAAGCUACUGCAAGAGGAGCAGAUCUGGAGAAAGGUGAAGCCGAUGAUGGACAACUACCACUCUGUGCAGACCAUUGAGACCAGGGUCUUCUCCCCCACCACCGCCAGACUGGACGGACCACCCCCCAAACGCCGGAGAUACAACAGCAAGACCGUGAAAUAAGGUCCAGAAACAACAGCAAGCCCGUACAGUAACCCCCAGAUACAAAAGGACCGUGAAAUAACCCCACAAUACAACAGCAAGACCCAGAAAUAACCCCCAGAUACAGCAGCAAGACAGUGAAAUAAGCCCCAUAUACAACAGCAAGACAGUGAAAUAAGCCCCAUAUACAACAGCAAGCCCGUACAGUAACCUCCAGAUACAACAGCAAGCCCGUACAGUAACCUCCAGAUACAAAAGGACCGUGAAAUAACCCUACAAUACAACAGCAAGACCCAGAAAUAACCCCCAGAUACAGCAGCAAGAGCGUGAAAUCCCCCACCCCACCCCGAUACAACAGCAAGACAGUGAGAUAACCCCCAGAAAUAACAAGCCCGUGAAAUAAGCCCCA